UUGCUUCAGCAGCACAUAUAGUAAAGUUGGAACAAUACAGAGAAGAUUAGCAUGGCCCCUGCACAAGGGUGACACAGAAAUCUGUGAAGCGUUUCAUAUUUUU
RNAcentral lists this small nuclear RNA (103 nucleotides) under Suricata suricatta (meerkat). Lineage: Eukaryota; Metazoa; Chordata; Mammalia; Carnivora; Herpestidae. The record is from RNAcentral.